Molecule: long non-coding RNA, 3906 nt
Organism: Chinchilla lanigera (long-tailed chinchilla)
Lineage: Eukaryota; Metazoa; Chordata; Mammalia; Rodentia; Chinchillidae
Source: Ensembl
UGGUUUUGGAGCGGAAGUGUCCUUCCAUCUUUCUGUGGACGCUGGCUGAAGAUUGCCCCUUAUGGCCUGAGAAGGACUCACGUAGAGACAGGAUGAAGAUCAUGCAGGUUGAAGGGACACUGUGGGGAGGGGGCCGGUGCGGGGUCCUGGCGGGAGAACUGAGGAGGGUUCUGUCCUGGAUUUCUCCUCCUCUCACCUGUGCCCUGAGCGCCUGAACCAGGGCGCUGCUCAGGGCCUCCACCUCCGACACAGGUGCGCGUCUCACGGAUGGGCCACUGGUCGAGAGCCCACCGAGCCCAGCGCAGAGGUUUCCUCUGCCAGAAGGGGGCGCAGUGUCCCGGGCUCCACCUGGGGUGGGCGGGGUGGCUUCUCGGCAAGGAUGUUUCUUGGCUUUGGGGGGAAAACACUGGGAGCGAAAAUCCAGCUCUCUCCUGAUUCGAGAGCUUCGAAACGAAGUCCAAAAGAAUCAUUUCCUCCCACGGAAGAAAUCCUACCUUCCCGCAAGCCGGGGGCUGGGCGCCUUAGCCGCCUGGCUUCCUCAAAGGGUUAUCAGAGCCCGAGCCAUCUGCGGAUCAAGGACCCCGGUGGUGGAAUCCACAGGUGCAAGGACCACAGAUGUGGAAGUAUGACUGCAAUCCCAUCAUGCAUCUUUGACCUCUAUCUUUUGCAUUCUGCACUUUCAAAGUUGAAGAGGAAAUAUAAUAUGUGGGUUUCCUCCUACCUCAUUGUGGGAACCCCAUCUCUCUUGGUUUCUACUCUGUAUGAUAUAGUGUGAGAAAGAUGAAAAAUCUAUUUUCUUCUUGGACAUCCCAAAGCAGAGAGAUGACAUCUUGAACUUUUUCUUGGCAUCCUGAUUAUGAAGCCUCAUUGCACAAGAGGAGACCUAAGAAGAAAUACGAAAUCUGCAGCCAUGAAACAAAGACUGUGACAAACUGAGGCAGAAAUUAGCCUACACUGCUAAAGCAGGAAGGGGUGGGUGAAGUGCGCGAGAAAAGUACAGCUUGCUGUGUGAAAAAAUGGAAAAAAGAACACUCAAAAGAAUGAGGAGAAGAGAGACUUCAAGAAUUAAACUUUUUUACCUUGAACUACCAGCCUAACUUAUGGCUUAGGAAACAUUUUUUCUUUGGACUUCAGUCUUGCUUUAGUUCCAAAUUGGGAUUGAAAUUGGGAAUUGUGAAGCUAAAAAUAUCAAACAAUCUUAGAUCCUUGCUGAAAAACAUCAGCGGCAACACACGGCAGAGCUCACCUCCCCCAUUCUUGACAUUUUAUUACAAGAAGAAAACCACAAGCCAAACUAGCAGAAGCUGUUAUAAUUAAACAAACCUUCAUGAGCUUCUAGUGGUUUUCAGGUUUCUGAGGCUCAGACAUCAUGUAAGAUGGGUUUAUUUAAUACGUGUUAUGGAAGGAGAAACAAAAGCACUUUUUAUUCUCUUUUGUAAAACAGAAGCCUGUUCCAUUUUACCCACUUCAUUUAGUCUUCCCAGGCUUGAGGUUAUCAUUUCCAUGUGACAUUUAACUACAUCAGUUUGGGAUAACGAGAAUUAACAUCUGUCAACUGGGGUACCCAAUGGCAAAUAACAGAGACCAAAUCUGACCCCAUGAAGGAAGAGGAACGUAUUGAAGUAGAUUGUGUGACUCCUAGAACCCCAGAAGGCUGGAGGGGGAACCUUGGAGGCAGUGAGUUCUAGAGAUGACCUGGUGGAUGCCUGCUGACUUUGCUCUGGCCACUGACUUUGUUCUGCAGCAUACUUCAAGACUGCCCUCCCAUUGGACAAGCUGCUGGAUGCUCUGUAAACCGGUGACAGCGGCCACCAACCUGUGAGUGUGCUCCCAAAUUCUAACUAGGCUUCCCAGUUGUCACAGGUUUGAACUUCCUCCUGCUGGUUCUUCCUUCUCCAAAGGUUUCUAUGUAAAUACCUGCCCUACAGACACCCCUUGUUUGGUUAUCCUUAUCCAGUGGAAGGGGAUUGUGUUACAACACAUACCCAAAAGCACACCUCCUCAGUUGCUUUUACCCAAGUUGAAGUUGUUCCGACUGGAGCGGUUCCUGAGGCUUCAGCAUGAUGGUCAGUGGUGUUUACAGAAGUGGUCCAAACCCGCAGACACUGAGUCCGCUAGCCUGGGUCUUCUUCCUAGUUCUGCCCCAGGCUUGGAAGGUACUCUUGAUUCUUUAACUACUUAACCUGUUACAGCAAGUUCACGCAUGUCUCCAAAGGAGGGACAGGUCUCAGGGGAUAGUGUAGUCUUGACUCAUACCAAGAAGGAAAAUUCUCAUCCUCAUUGUAAGGCUGUAUUCCAGCCGGGGCUGUGCGCCUUAUUUCAUGCCAAGUGGUCACCUUGGAGUCCCCUAAGGCAGCAAAGGACCACAGUCUUCUCUACUGGCUGUUCCCACGGGCACGCCUGGUCAGGGUUCCCGGCUGACCAUUAAUGGUGGGACUCUUCCAUCCUCUCGUUCUUCCCCAUCUCCUUCUUGGGGGUGCAGGGCAGCACGGUGCCCAUUCUUCCCAUCGCCAUGUGAUGUGUCACUCUCCACGUGCUCAUGGUGCAGGUCAUACCUUGCAUGUUUAAGGCGGUGGAUAACUAGCUUGAGAAUUAACUAUGCUUAUUUUUUUCCGGCUGUAAGCUCAACAGGAAGGAAUGAGAGGUAUUUUUUCCUUCUCCCGUGAGGAGCCAGGUUACACGUCCUGGGUGUUUGGAUUUGCCUUUAAUGCCUUUGUUGUCAACAGUCUCAUUUCCUGCAGGAGUCGGGGCUCAGCCCAUUCUGCAGGUUUAAGGGGAGUGGAAGAGGGUGGGGCUCCCUGGCUGGCCUAUUAGAAGGAGGUGAGACUGGAAUGGUGAAAUCUGGUCCAGUUUGCAGGUUCCACCUCAUGGAAGAUGAUACCUUGGGUGAGGGCUGGUUACUUGGAGACCAGUGAAAGCUAGUGUGGUGCAGGGCCGAGCGAUGGCCAAUGCCCAGGCGCCAAGAAGAAGGUGGCAUGCUCAGCAUUACCUGCUGGGGCACCAGGACCACGCCAGAGUGGGUUCAUGGUGCAGCUGAGACUCAUUUCAGAUGGAAGCACGGCACUGGGCCGAUGUGGACCACACUCACCAGUGUCGGGGCAAACCAGUGAGCGCUGAACCCCGACCCAGAGAACUGCAUAGGGCAUCUCCAAGUUCUCAGAGUCCUGUACAGCCCAGGUGGGGGUGGCAGCCCUGGAGCACAGAAUGGACUUCGAGCUUCUCCCUUACCCUUAAAAAGAACUUGCUUGGAAAUGAUGUUAUAUUUACAGAAAUGUUGCAAAAAUGUACAGAAAAUUCACAUGUACCUCUCACCCAGUUUUCAGCAUGGUUAACAUUCUUUGGUUCCCAUGGUACAAUUGUCAAAACUCAGAUACCAUCUUUGGUACAUAUUGUUAUUGUUUGAACUCCAAACCUUAUCUGAAUUUCACCAGUUUUCCACUAACAUCUCCUCCCUGUUCCAGGAUUGAAACCAGGUUACCACACUGCAUCUCACUGCCAUGUUUCCCCAGUCUCCCCUGGUUGGUAUAGGCUUCUCAGUCUCCCCUAGUUUCUGUGGCCAUAGUCUUUCCUGGUACUGGACAGUGAUCUUGAAGGAUGUCUCCUCCGCUGGGCUGUCACUUCUUGUCUCACGAUUAGAUUGGGGUUACGGGAGCGGGAGAAGAAUAACACGGGGUGAAGUGCCCUUCUCAUCAGAAGGCAUGUGAUUCCCACAUGAUCCCCUCACCGCAGCCUUCCUCUUUGGUUAAGGGGUGCCCACCACGUUUCACCAGUGUAAAGGAUUAUUUUUCCUUCCCCAUUCCAUUCUUUCUAUGCCACCCUAAUCCUUCUGGCAUUUGCAGUAGAAAAAUAAAGAAAUGUUAUUGCUACUUGCAGCUCAGUGUCACGGAACAAUCCUUGCCUAUUCUA